GUCUCUUGAAGCUCUCUUUUGACAUUUUCAAGGCCUCCAAUGUCUUCCCAUGAUACAUUAGGCACUUCAACAACUGUUUCACGCAAUGCAGAUGGAUUGCUUGUUCCUAGAGCAGUUUGGAAGUGCUCAUUUGUGACAGCCAUUGAAUUCAAUAUUUCAGCAUCAAUGGAAUCAUCUUCCAGAUCAAUGACAUCCAUUUUCUCUCUAAUGCACUGAAGUGCAGCUUCAGUGCAAAGAGCAGCAAGAUCUGCACCGACAUAACCAUGUGUAUCUUUUGAUAUUCUUUCCAAAUCAACUUCUUCUGCAAGCUUCAUAUUCUUGGUAUGAAUACGAAGAACUUCAAGACGUCCAACUUCAUCAGGAACACCAAUGUCAAUUUCCCGAUCAAACCUACCAAACCUUCUGAGAGCGGGAUCAAUGCUAUUAGGACGAUUGGUAGCUCCCAUAACUAUGACAUGAGCACGAGAUUUCAGUCCAUCCAUCAGAGUCAGGAGCUGUGAAACAAUCCUUCUCUCAACUUCACCAUGUGUCUUCUCCCGCUUAGGAGCAAUUGAAUCAAUCUCAUCA
RNAcentral lists this unclassified non-coding RNA (567 nucleotides) under Hevea brasiliensis (rubber tree). Lineage: Eukaryota; Viridiplantae; Streptophyta; Magnoliopsida; Malpighiales; Euphorbiaceae. The record is from RNAcentral.